UUGUUUGUAAUUAUGUGUCCUCAUUUCCAUAUGUAAAUCUGAUCGUUCACACCAAGUAAUAUUAGCUAAACUACUGUACUGACUGCACAACCUGACACAAGAAAGAAAAAUUUACUUGGGUGAUGGGACUGAACCUGGCAACCUUGUACGCGCUCAACGAAUGACGUCAGAGGAGAGUUUUUCGUUUUCCCCUUCAGAGUCACCUAAACAACAGGACCUGGCCUGGGACCACAGACUUGAACUGCGGCUGGUUUUGUCGUUCAUUUGAUGAGGAAAUUCAUGGAUGCGAAGCCACGGAGCAACAUGUUGAAGGCAGAAGAGAUGUCAGCAUCCACUGCUUGAUGGAGUUACUUGGAGAGUCUGGAGAGGAACUUAUUAAAGACCACCAGGAUGUCAGCAAAGAAACCAUCAAAGAGGACUCUGCUUAUCAUGUCUUUGUUGUGGAAAUUCAGCACAAGAAGGCCACAUCCCUGCCCGUGUGUCGAUCAUCAUCUGGGGAAAAGAGGUUCUUGGUGACUGUAAAAGUGCAGCAUUGGCUGCUCAUGGACUUUAUCCACACAGUGAACUGGAGUCACGAACCAAAGUUUCAGAAGCUCUUUCUUGAGCUUGAUGUUGUGAAGCUGUCUCCUAAAGUCCAGUCUUUGCACAACAAACUUCUAGCGUAAAUGUUUCCACUCAAGAUUCUCAACCAACUUCAUUGUGUUUAAAUCUUUGAAAAUGUUUUGUCUUUUAAUGACAGUUGUUAAAACAUUUGACAGUACUGGGAGCAGAACUAACUUAUGAAUGUACACAUUAUUUUUUAUUAUUAUUUCAUGUUUAGUAGAAGCCUUAUGGUAAUACAGUCUUAUUGACUAAAAAGUAGCCCAUAGUGAAAAUGCAACAAAUCCAUAUUAUAAUAGUGUUGUAGGGUAGUGGUAGAUAGAAAAAAUAUUUUGUAAAAAAUUACAAAGAAUUUUAACUGGAAAUUGUUACUGGGCUUUUUUUUUUUUUUUUUUUUUAAGUAAAUGCCAUUCCAAAUUUCUUUGAGUGCACAGAGGUCAUUCAAUGUGCUUGUUCACUAAUAGACUAAUAGAUAUCUGCCUGAUUAUCAUUUACAUUUACUCAAGUACUUAAGAACUGAGCUUCAGAAGGAAAUUUUGUAAUUCACUCUACUUAUCAGAUUGCUGUGGUGACUAUAGAGAUCAUACUAAAGUCUGAACAUUUAGGUUUACUUAAGUAUCAGCAAAAAAACACAAAAAAAUUAAAGUUCCUCUCCAGAUAUUGUUUUAAACUAUGUAAAAAUAUUCUGCCAUGAGUAAUAUUUUGUUUAACUUGGUUUUCCCAAAUAAAAAGUGAAAAAAAAAUGGAAAACUUGC
Molecule: long non-coding RNA, 1355 nt
Organism: Seriola aureovittata
Lineage: Eukaryota; Metazoa; Chordata; Actinopteri; Carangiformes; Carangidae
Exons: 3
Source: RefSeq, a predicted model, not a curated record